UGAGAACUGCACUUAACAUACCAUUUAAUUUGUCAGAAUGAAGCUUACAAUCAUUCUUGUGUUGUUCGGUUGCGUUGCCGUAAUUAAAUCACAAGACGACUGCCAAUAUACACCAUGCGUAGGUCUCCUAUACAAUGGACAGGUGGCAUGCCAGCAAUAUGGAAUGGGCUAUUAUACCGGACGCACUAAGAAAGAUAAUUGUGGAUGGGACUAGCAAUUCCAAGACCUGGAUGCAAGUGGACAGCAGGUUGUUACGGAUCAAUCAGACAUCAUAUAAGCGAAUGUCACAGAGAGUACGGAAGUGGCUGGAUGAAACCGGGCAGAAAAAUGAGAUGUUCGAUGAACCAAUAUAAAAAAUUCGAAUGUUGUCAAUAAAGCGAUAAAUGGAACAGAUUUCUGGACUCAACAUCUUGUAUUUUAUGUUUGAAUAAACCUCUUAAUUGAAAAA
Molecule: long non-coding RNA, 448 nt
Organism: Bradysia coprophila
Lineage: Eukaryota; Metazoa; Arthropoda; Insecta; Diptera; Sciaridae
Source: RefSeq, a predicted model, not a curated record